RNAcentral lists this ribosomal RNA (249 nucleotides) under Salmonella enterica subsp. enterica serovar Potsdam. RNAcentral describes it as "partial 16S ribosomal RNA". It matches the Rfam family "Bacterial small subunit ribosomal RNA", at positions 1 to 246 of the family's 1533-position model. Lineage: Bacteria; Pseudomonadati; Pseudomonadota; Gammaproteobacteria; Enterobacterales; Enterobacteriaceae. The record is from RNAcentral. RNAcentral also lists the same sequence under 10 other names.
AAAUUGAAGAGUUUGAUCAUGGCUCAGAUUGAACGCUGGCGGCAGGCCUAACACAUGCAAGUCGAACGGUAACAGGAAGCAGCUUGCUGCUUCGCUGACAAGUGGCGGACGGGUGAGUAAUGUCUGGGAAACUGCCUGAUGGAGGGGGAUAACUACUGGAAACGGUGGCUAAUACCGCAUGACGUCGCAAGACCAAAGAGGGGGACCUUCGGGCCUCUUGCCAUCAGAUGUGCCCAGAUGGGAUUAGCU